CUUUUAUACACGUGAAACUGCGAAUGGCUCAUUAAAACAGUUAUAGUUUAUUUGAUGGUACCUUACUACUUGGAUAACCGUAGUAAUUCUAGAGCUAAUACAUGCCUACACGCCCGACUCACGAAGGGUGGUAUUUAUUAGAUAAAAAACCAAACCAGGGCGUCCUCGGGUGACCUGGAUUGUGAUGAUUCAUAAUAACUUGUCGGAUCGCAUGGCCUAGUGCUGGCGACGCAUCAUUCAAAUUUCUGCCCUAUCAACUUUCGAUGGUACAGUAGUGGUCUACCAUGGUGUCAACGGGUGACGGGGAAUUAGGGUUCGAUUCCGGAGAGGGAGCCUGAGAAAUAGCUACCACAUCCAAGGAAGGCAGCAGGCGCGCAAUUUACCCAAUGGCAACACGCCGAGGUAGUGACAAAAAAUAACAAUAGGGGGCUCUUCGAGUCUUCUAAUUGGAAUGAGAACAAUUUAAAUCUCUUAUCGAGGAUCCAUUGGAGGGCAAGUCUGGUGCCAGCAGCCGCGGUAAUUCCAGCUCCAAUAGCGUAUAUUAAAGUUGUUGCAGUUAAAACGCUCGUAGUCGGAUUUCGGGGCGCGCCCACGGGGCCAGCUUCUGCUGCGGUUCCCUGUGGGGGUUUCUGCCCCUUUUGUUUCUGGGACGCCAGUGGCGGACCGUGGCGGGGCACUUAAUUGGGUUCUGUCACGCCCGCCGCUGAUUCAGCGGGCCGGACGUUUACUGUGAAGAAAUUAGGGUGUUCAAAGCAGGCCAUUGCUGUGAAUACGUGAGCAUGGAAUAAUGGAAUAGGACUUUGGCUCUAUUUUGUUGGUUUCCAGCGCCAAGGUAAUGAUUAAUAGGGACAGUUGGGGGCAUUCGUAUUUCAUUGUCAGAGGUGAAAUUCUUGGAUUGAUGGAAGACGAACCACUGCGAAAGCAUCUGCCAAGGAUGUUUUCAUUGAUCAAGAACGAAAGUUAGGGGAUCGAAGACGAUCAGAUACCGUCGUAGUCUUAACCAUAAACUAUGCCGACUGGGGAUUGGCGGGGGCUUCAUAUCGAUGACC
RNAcentral lists this ribosomal RNA (1049 nucleotides) under Kuwaitiella rubra. Its description in RNAcentral is "SSU rRNA". It matches the Rfam family "Eukaryotic small subunit ribosomal RNA", at positions 70 to 1076 of the family's 1831-position model. Lineage: Eukaryota; Rhodophyta; Bangiophyceae; Bangiales; Bangiaceae. The record is from RNAcentral.